This 1241-nucleotide ribosomal RNA is filed under the name metagenome. Its description in RNAcentral is "bacterial LSU rRNA". It matches the Rfam family "Bacterial large subunit ribosomal RNA", at positions 1564 to 2815 of the family's 2925-position model. The record is from RNAcentral.
UGAAUACGAGACGCUACGGCGUCGAAGCAGUCUAUGUCAUACUUCCAAGAAAAGCUUGCACUGUCAUAAACAAAUAAUGCCUGUACCAUAACCGACACAGGUGGGUAGGUAGAGUAUACUAAGGGGCGCGAGAUAACUCUCUCUAAGGAACUCGGCAAAAUGACUCCGUAACUUCGGGAGAAGGAGUGCCUUAUUUAUAAGGUUGCAAUAACAAGAUCCAAGCAACUGUUUAUCAAAAACACAGGUCUCCGCUAAGUCGUAAGACGAUGUAUGGGGGCUGACGCCUGCCCAGUGCCAGAAGGUUAAAGAAGUUGGUUAGCAUUAGCGAAGCUGAUAACUGAAGCCCUGGUGAACGGCGGCCGUAACGAUAACGGUCCUAAGGUAGCGAAAUUCCUUGUCGGGUAAGUUCCGACCCGCACGAAAGGCGUAAUGAUUUGGAUACUGUCUCAGAGAGGGGCUCGGUGAAAUAGACUUGUCUGUGAAGAUGCGGACUACCUGCACCAGGACAGAAAGACCCUAUGAAGCUUUACUGUAACUUGAAAUUGAAAUUGGACUUUAUUUGCGCAGUAUAGGUGGGAGGCAUUGAUAAUAUUCUUGCGGGAAUGUUGGAGCCAUCAGUGAGAUACCACUCUUGUAAUGUUAGAUUUCUAACUUUGGAUCAUUAUCUGGUCAAAGGACAGUUUCAGGCGGGCAGUUUGACUGGGGCGGUCGCCUCCUAAAUGGUAACGGAGGCGCACAAAGGUUUCCUCUGAACGGGUAGAAAUCGUAUCUAGAGUGCAAAGGCAUAAGGAAGCUUGACUGUGAGACCUACAAGUCGAGCAGGGACGAAAGUCGGUCUUAGUGAUCUGACGGUGCUGAGUGGAAAGGCCGUCACUCAACGGAUAAAAGUUACUCUAGGAUAACAGGCUGAUCUCCCCCAAGAGUUCACAUCGACGGGGAGGUUUGGCACCUCGAUGUCGGCUCAUCGCAUCCUGGGGCGGUAGUACGUCCCAAGGGUUGGGCUGUUCGCCCAUGAAAGCGGUACGCGAGCUGGGUUCAGAACGUCGUGAGACAGUUCGGUCCAUAUCCGGUGUAGGCGUUAGAAUAUUGAGAGGAGCCUUCUUUAGUACGAGAGGACCGAGAAGGACAUACCUCUGGUGUACCAGUUAUCGUGCCAACGGUAAACGCUGGGUAGCUAUGUAUGGAGAGGAUAACCGCUGAAAGCAUCUAAGUGGGAAGCCCACCUCAAGAUAAGUAUUCUC